Molecule: long non-coding RNA, 891 nt
Organism: Lepisosteus oculatus (spotted gar)
Lineage: Eukaryota; Metazoa; Chordata; Actinopteri; Semionotiformes; Lepisosteidae
Source: RefSeq, a predicted model, not a curated record
AGCAUAACAUUAUACUGCUUAUAACAAUAACGCGCUUAAUAUACAAUAUUCACGUUUUACACCGAAAAAUCUAAAAAAGCAUCCUAAUAAAUGAAGCAUAUUACAACCAGUAAGAAAAAUAGUUUGUUGCCCUUUUUAUACUUUUAGCCAUUAUUUCUUAAUUAUCCAAAUGUAGUAUUUUUACCUAAAUCGUUUUUUUUAAUGGAAAUAUUACUUUAAUUAUGUCCAAGAGUAGUUAUUUAAACGCUGGCCAGCCACGUUUGCUUUACAUUUAGCAGUAGUAAAAGACAUUCGUUUACUUCUAAUUUUAAAAGCGACAUAAUAACCAAAGGCCUGGAUGACGUCAUCACAGACAGUGGUCCUACACGGUCGGGUAUACCCGGCAAUUAAAAUGCAGACUCCAUCCCCAUACAUCUGCUUCGUCUUUGCCAAAUGAAUUGCCAGGAAAGGAAAAUAAAAAAGAGACUGCAUUGAGAUCACAGAUGGAGUGCAGGUUUUUGCAAGAAAUUUGAGAAACACCAUUGUCCCAAAUCAAAACUCAAUGUGUUGCCCUACAAUGGGGUCCGCUUUGAGCCCCUCCGCUUCAAUCGGACUUGUUUUUUAAACUUGAAGUGUUCAGCACAAAGACUUGCCUCCUAAAUGUCACAACCGCUCCAGUUCCAAGUGUGGCUGCUUGGAAAGGGUGUAAAAAAAACGAAAAGGAAAAGAACACAAUUAUGAAGCAAUAAUUACUCUACUUCAGUUCGCACGCCAUUGCUCCCAUAGAAACAUCUUAGCCCCUAUUUAAUUCUUUAUUCCAGAGGAUGAUAAUCCGAAUACCAUAGGUUCCAGUAUUUUUAAGGGGGCUGGAAUGGGGAGGAGGUGUUGUAAAUAAAUGAAUAUUCAUUAUGA